UUGAACGCUGGCGGCAGGCCUAACACAUGCAAGUCGAGCGGAUGAGAGGAGCUUGCUCCUUAAUUCAGCGGCGGACGGGUGAGUAAUGCCUAGGAAUCUGCCUGGUAGUGGGGGACAACGUUUCGAAAGGAACGCUAAUACCGCAUACGUCCUACGGGAGAAAGCAGGGGACCUUCGGGCCUUGCGCUAUCAGAUGAGCCUAGGUCGGAUUAGCUAGUUGGUGAGGUAAUGGCUCACCAAGGCGACGAUCCGUAACUGGUCUGAGAGGAUGAUCAGUCACACUGGAACUGAGACACGGUCCAGACUCCUACGGGAGGCAGCAGUGGGGAAUAUUGGACAAUGGGCGAAAGCCUGAUCCAGCCAUGCCGCGUGUGUGAAGAAGGUCUUCGGAUUGUAAAGCACUUUAAGUUGGGAGGAAGGGCAGUAAAUUAAUACUUUGCUGUUUUGACGUUACCGACAGAAUAAGCACCGGCUAACUCUGU
RNAcentral lists this ribosomal RNA (482 nucleotides) under uncultured bacterium. RNAcentral's name for it is "bacterial SSU rRNA". It matches the Rfam family "Bacterial small subunit ribosomal RNA", at positions 30 to 506 of the family's 1533-position model. The record is from RNAcentral.